RNAcentral lists this ribosomal RNA (468 nucleotides) under uncultured bacterium. Its description in RNAcentral is "partial 16S ribosomal RNA". It matches the Rfam family "Bacterial small subunit ribosomal RNA", at positions 28 to 507 of the family's 1533-position model. The record is from RNAcentral.
GACGAACGCUGGCGGCGUGCUUAACACAUGCAAGUCGAACGGAAAGGCCCUGCUUUUGUGGGGUGCUCGAGUGGCGAACGGGUGAGUAACACGUGAGUAACCUGCCCUUGACUUUGGGAUAACUUCAGGAAACUGGGGCUAAUACCGGAUAGGAGCUCCUGCUGCAUGGUGGGGGUUGGAAAGUUUCGGCGGUUGGGGAUGGACACGCGGCUUAUCAGCUUGUUGGAGGGGUAGUGGCUUACCAAGGCUUUGACGGGUAGCCGGCCUGAGAGGGUCACCGGCCCCAUUGGGCCUGAGCUACGGCCCAGACUCCUACGGGAGGCAGCAGUGGGGAAUAUUGCACAAUGGGCGGAAGCCUGAUGCAGCCACGCCGCGUGCGGGAUGACGGCCUUCGGGUUGUAAACCGCUUUCGCCUGUGACGAAGCGUGAGUGACGGUAAUGGGUAAAGAAGCACCGGCUAACUACGUG